This is a long non-coding RNA of Anopheles gambiae (African malaria mosquito), 1791 nucleotides long. RefSeq lists it as uncharacterized. Lineage: Eukaryota; Metazoa; Arthropoda; Insecta; Diptera; Culicidae. The transcript is spliced from 3 exons. The record is from RefSeq and is a predicted model, not a curated record.
CGCUACAUCACGCUCGCCAAUCAUGCAUGCAAAUCCAUUGACCACUGUGACAAAGGUUGCUAUAAAACCAUUGGACCUAUCAUCGAUCAGGGCAGUCGCAUAAACAGCUCGACAGAAACGCAUCAAGUAUGAAGCUUACACUUUUCCUUGCAUUUUUGACAGUACUGGCUACCAUCGCCCAUGCGGCAACGGUAGGGUCAUCAAGGGCUGCAGGAAUUACCGCACCUGUUGGAGGCCUCGAGUAUACAACGGAUGCUGGCCCGCCUGCUGAGAUGUUGCGCCAGAAUCAAAAAUAUUCCACAACGACCAGAAAAGCGGAUGAACCGAGGUACAUGCUUCGGGGAUAAAUCGACCCUCCGAACAGCGCAUUGUCCACCUGAGGAAUCUUGAUAAGAAUCUAUCCCAGCUUUUAGAUUUAACAGUGGGAAAUUUAAGUAUCGUCCGUGCUUGUAAUAUUUUUUAAGCUGAAAAUUGCAAAAUAAACAAAACAAGUAAGCAAAACAAUUAUUACUUUACACUUUUUUUAUUGAAGUCGCUUACUGGCUAUGAAAAUAUAAUGCUUGCCACAUCGCCGUAUGUUGCGAUCAUUGUUCUCACCAAUUAUCUAAUGCAUCUUACGUUCUAGAUUGCUAUCUCCCCUGUUUCUCUGUUUCUCCCCUGUCCCCUGUUGUAAGGAUAGCAAAUCGAAUCGAAAAAGGAUCAAAAUAAUGGGAAAGGCCUGUGAUAAAUACUUACAUGCAUUGUCUUUAAACUAACGCUAACCAGUUGGCGUUAACUUAUUGCAUUGAAAGUAUUAAAAAUCUUUCUUACAUUGGGGGCUUUUACGAUAUCAGCCAGCUGUUUUAUAUGGUGUUUGUCACUUACAGGUUUAAAUCAUGUCAACACUCUUUACAAAACCACUUACAUAGCCCUUAGCCUUAGAUUUUCAGCCCAGAUUAUUUCAGCUUAAUAAAUAUUUAAACAAACGCCGAUUCGUCUCAGGCACGUUCAGAUUAGUGAAUGAAAGAUUGAAUUUUUUGGAAGAUGCAUAAAUAUUGAGUGAAUAAUAGUUAAACGUUAUUUGAACCAUUUAUUAAAGUUUCACAAAAGUGCUAUAACAUGUUUCAAACAGAAAAAGGAAAAUAAAACAAUUUUAUAAUGCAUCUUAGUUUGUACACAAACGCUUCCAUCCAAUAUGGCGGACCUUAACUGUCACAUGGAUACAACCCAGAUGAUAAAUACUGUUCCACUGAUAGACUGCAAAUUUCAGCCAUAUGGCUUAAAAUAAAGAAGAGAUCAUUGUUAUAAAAAUGUAAAGUAUUAUUAAACAUUGAAACGAGAUUAACAUAGACACGUUUUGCCCCAAAAAUUCUAUGAAUGAACCAACUCAACCAGUUUUUGACAACUUGGUGCAAUUUGCUAGUACUCACCAAGUUGUACAGCAUAUAUACUUUUUUUGUUAAACCACCAUAGUAUAUCUACCAGAACAUCAACAAAAGCUCUGCUUAUCGAAGUAGCUCUAACACCCAUAACGUAAGCAAAGGCAAUCAGUUACAGUAAAGCAUCACGCUUAUUAUUCCCAAUUUCCAUGACCCAUUUGUUGUACACUACUCUUUUUGAAUCACUAUAAAACAUCGCCUCCACCAUAGUCCGCCGGUGAGUCCUAAAGACGCAAUAGAAAUGAAAAUCAUCGUAGUACUGCUUUCCUUGAUUGCUAUGGCGUUCGCCGCUUCAAUACCAUGGAGAAGUUAUUAUGUUUACCGCCCAGUUCGUGUAAGUCCUACACGAGACCAAGACGCACUCAACACUCAA